Molecule: non-coding RNA, 1543 nt
Organism: Cricetulus griseus (Chinese hamster)
Lineage: Eukaryota; Metazoa; Chordata; Mammalia; Rodentia; Cricetidae
Source: RefSeq, a predicted model, not a curated record
ACGGAGCUCUUCCUGCCUCUACCUCCCAAGGGCUAGGAAUAAAGACAUGUGUCACCACAGCAGCUACUAGGAAGCUAUUUGAUUUGAGAAACUGAAAUAAAAGCCUCCUUUCCAAGGAGACUCACAUGCUUAAGUCAUUCCCACAACAGAGAACAAACAGCUUGAGAACCCUCAGUUCUUUGGAUAAAUAGGAGGUUAGGUGCUCAGAGGAAGAGCCUGUGACCCCAUCAUAAAUAUUUAAGAGAAUCUUACUUUCAUUUCUGAAAGAGCCUUGCAGCUGUUUAUAGGGGUCAGCUUUUUCUGAGAGAAAAAAUUUUAUCCCAGGUUUUAGGGCUUUGACACUGACUUUGAGGUAAUCAGCAAUUCCCAGGAGCAUAACACACUACUGUGGUCCAAUCAGUUCUAUUUUUACUGAAGGUUGGCUCCCUGUGGCUCACACUUAACCUCUGUUAUUUCCUUAGUCUGCAGUGUAUAGUGGAAUAGAAGGGCUCAGCCCCCAGGAGAACCUCAUCUGAGGACCCAUAACCUGAGGGUGCUAUUGCAGGAAAAGCCAAAUGGAAGCUCCCAGAGCUGCCCUCCCUGCCAGAGAGUCAAAGGAAAGCAGAAACAUUUUCCCAAGGGAACGGCAGGGAUUUGUGUCGUCAUCAGAGACUGGAAAUACACAAGGAUGGUUAUACUUCUAUCACCAUCUUGGCGCAGACGACCACAAGCUUAGUCAGGAAGAGAUUCCUAUUGCACUGAUUCGAUUUACUUACUGCAACAGAUCAGCAUGGACUCCGGCCCCUCAGGGGCAGCUACUUAUUGAGAAGAUGCAUUAGUCUACCUCAGUGAAAACACUGAUCACGAAGCAGUUUGCCUUGACCUUACAAGACACCACAAGCUGUCCACCUUCACUGCUGUGUUCCAAGGUUAUGUCCGAUGCUCUUUCUCCGCCACGAUUGGGUACAGAGGAUUGUACCCAAUACCACGAUUGGUCAUCUCGUCUCACCAUCUCAAGUGAUUUUAUUUUAGUUUGUCACAUCGAUGGCAAGUUGGAGUGUCUGGAGAGUAGAGGAACCUACACACUUAUGCCUUGAUGAGCAGCAUGAGAGGGUCCUGACACCUGAGACCAUGAGGCCCUCAAAUGAUGCUUCCAGGCAUCCCAGCCAGCGACAGAGACAGCGAAGCCUCACUAGUCUGGUUUCCAUACCUCCCGCUUGCCUUGAGCCUGGCUGACACAUGCCCUCCUUGUGAUGGAUGUCACACUCAACAGCGACAAGCAUUUGGGCACUUGGCGGAGAUUGUCCUGGGAAGGAAGCGUUCUUGUUGUCAUAAGGACAAAUGACUCAGUGAAUAUGAGCCUGGCAAACAGCUCCUGCUUCUAUGAACGGCCACGGACACCCCAAAGAAACCAUCGGGUACCAACACUGGCUUGAGACACGAACAAGCGUAUGGUGACGUGUACUGUUUCAGCUUCCAUCCAAAGACACUGCUCUAACUGGAUCAGCAUUCUUUGCAGAGUUAGAGGUACCGGAUGGAAGAUCCUUGGAUAACAAAAAUCAGG